AUUGAACGCUGGCGGCAGGCCUAACACAUGCAAGUCGAACGGCAGCACAGAAGAGCUUGCUCUUUGGGUGGCGAGUGGCGGACGGGUGAGUAAUGUCUGGGAAACUGCCCGAUGGAGGGGGAUAACUACUGGAAACGGUAGCUAAUACCGCAUAACGUCGCAAGACCAAAGUGGGGGACCUUCGGGCCUCACACCAUCGGAUGUGCCCAGAUGGGAUUAGCUAGUAGGUGGGGUAAUGGCUCACCUAGGCGACGAUCCCUAGCUGGUCUGAGAUGAUGACCAGACUCACUGGAACUGAGACACGGUCCAGACUCCUACGGGAGGCAGCAGUGGGGAAUAUUGCACAAUGGGCGCAAGCCUGAUGCAGCCAUGCCGAGUGUAUGAAGAAGGCCUUCGGGUUGUAAAGUACUUUCAGCGGGGAGGAAGGCGGUGAGGUUAAUAACCUUGCCGAUUGACGUUACCCGCAGAAGAAGCACCGGCUAACUCCGUGCCAGCCGCCGCCGUAA
This 506-nucleotide ribosomal RNA is filed under the name uncultured bacterium. RNAcentral's name for it is "partial 16S ribosomal RNA". It matches the Rfam family "Bacterial small subunit ribosomal RNA", at positions 30 to 523 of the family's 1533-position model. The record is from RNAcentral.